This 433-nucleotide ribosomal RNA is filed under the name uncultured bacterium. Its description in RNAcentral is "partial 16S ribosomal RNA". It matches the Rfam family "Bacterial small subunit ribosomal RNA", at positions 29 to 507 of the family's 1533-position model. The record is from RNAcentral.
AACGAACGCUGGCGGCAUGCCUAACACAUGCAAGUCGAACGAGACCUUCGGGUCUAGGGGCGCACGGGUGCGUAACGCGUGGGAACCUGCCCUUAGGUUCGGAAUAACUCCACGAAAGGGGUGCUAAUACCGGAUAAUGUCUUCGGACCAAAGAUUUAUCGACUUUGGAUGGGCCCGCGUUGGAUUAGCUAGUUGGUAGGGUAAAAGCCUACCAAGGCGACGAUCCAUAGCUGGUUUGAGAGGAUGAUCAGCCACACUGGGACUGAGACACGGCCCAGACUCCUACGGGAGGCAGCAGUGGGGAAUAUUGGACAAUGGGCGAAAGCCUGAUCCAGCAAUGCCGCGUGAGUGAUGAAGGCCUUAGGGUUGUAAAGCUCUUUUACCCGGGAUGAUAAUGACAGUACCGGGAGAAUAAGCUCCGGCUAACUCCGUG